GACUUGCUCACUUCAGUUUGAGUGGUUGAGCAACAACAGUAAGGGCACUGUAAUUUAACGGUUUUAUACCAUAUUUUUUUCUGUGUACACAAGACGCCAUUUUGGAUUAUCUACAUGAGAUUUGAACUGCGUGCCUCUGUUUGAAACUCCAAGGUACUUACAAGAAAGGAUAAUUGGAUAAUUUGGAUAUUUUCGACGAGGAUCCGACCGUGUGAAUGUCUUGAGAAGAGAAAGGGGGUAACUUUAGCCUAAUUUAGCAAGCUAACGAUAGCUGGAGGACUCAUUUUCACAUCACACACAGGUAAGAAUGUUAAACCUAGAUUUUACAUGAACUUUGAGUGAAGA
Danio rerio (zebrafish) is the source of this 345-nucleotide non-coding RNA. NCBI's taxonomy places the organism in Eukaryota, Metazoa, Chordata, Actinopteri, Cypriniformes, Danionidae. The record is from RefSeq and is a predicted model, not a curated record.